This is a long non-coding RNA of Alligator mississippiensis (American alligator), 317 nucleotides long. RefSeq lists it as uncharacterized. The transcript is spliced from 2 exons. NCBI's taxonomy places the organism in Eukaryota, Metazoa, Chordata, Crocodylia, Alligatoridae. The record is from RefSeq and is a predicted model, not a curated record.
UGGCAGCCUAGGUAGCAACAUUGCCUGACUGAGUUGCAAUAGGAGUAUCUUGGAGCUUUGGGAAUCUUCACUCUUCCAUCUCUAGCUUUCUGUUUGGAAGCCCACAAGAAUUCCUUGCUCAUGGCAUCUCAUGAGCUGGCCUACAAAGAUUGGUCUGGUCUCCAGCCAAUGACAGCACCUCUGCUUGCGGUCCUAGGAGUUUGUGGUCACUCCUGUUUGUGGUCAUGCAAAAAUGUGAGCUCCUUCAGGAAAAAGGAGGGGGUUAUUGUUUAAAUUAUAGACUCUGUGCCAACAUCAGUAAAAAGAUGAUUUUGUCA